UAUACGCCCUGUCUGCCUAAUGGCAGAGGCUACCUCUCAAAAGGAUGUGAGGAAUCUCAUCAUCAACCUCGGGCUAAUAUGGAGUACAGAUUAUCAUGUUUUAGUGUUGAGGACUCCUUCUCAACAAGGGCAGGGUGUAUAAAUUUUUUUCACAACAAUAUUCCAUCUGUUUGAUUUCACUCAAAUUACACCCACCAUAUUCAUUAGCUGCUUCCUUAAGAACCUGAAUUCUAUCACAACCAAUUCGAUCAUCAAUUGAAGACCUUCCUAUGCCUUUGCCUCAUGCCUCAAGCUUUAAGGUGGGAAGAGAACUAAAAGAUGUGGAUAAGCUUGAGAAAAAACAAAUUAGGAUCAAAUUGUUUGUAGAGAUGAAAUAAAUCAGAUCGUGAGGUUGAAGAAGGCCUCGACCUAGUGCAUUUUUGCCUUUUUGUUCUUUUUUUUUUUUUUUUUUUUUUGGUUUUUCUUCAAUUACUAAAGGGUUCUGCUAAUAAAGGAAAGAAAAUAAAAAAGUAUAACAGGUAACUCUUCUAAUAGGGUAAAUAAUUUGUGAGCAAAAUUAUUGAAACUGAAGGGAUGGAUAUGAGACAUGGGCAUAUUUGUGAUUUGGAUUUUUAGGCCCAUUACCCACAUAAAUCGGGUUGAAACGUCAGAUGCCCAACCCACUUAAGCAUGUUUUGUUUGGCCCUUAUAUAUCCAUUAUACCCUUUUUCUUCUUCACUCGACUUCACCCCGUGGUCACCAAUUGUCGAUUCGAAUGAGCCAUGAAAGUUGAAUCGAAUCCCAACAACAUUGAGCCUUCACAGCCUUUGAGAAACCUCUAGCCACUGUCAAACGAUCCGAAAACAUGAUUGCUGCAAUCUCAUAGCCACAGCAAUGAAGUCCUGAUCAUAACGAGGUCACCACCAUUGCUGACGUGAAAAUCCUCAUCCACCUUCGUUGAGAUGGAGAAAAUUGAGUAAUCUUGAAAAGCACCAGCCGAGAAUUGUUUACGAGUUAUAAGGUUGUGCUAGAUAAGUUGUUUGAACUCAAACAAUAUCAUUGAUUAUAACACUAGGUAUGUUGUUGUUUCUCCUUUUGCUCCAUCAAUAUAUAUGCCUAUACUUCCAUUUUUUAUGUAUAUAAAUAAAAAUAAAUCUACAGAUGAAAUGUGUGUUCAAAUUAUUGCUUUCCAUUGCAAAUUAAGUAUGAAUUUGAUGAAAUCUUUAUGACCAUAUUAUUCCAAACGUACGUAUAUGGCUUACUAAAAGAUUAAAUAUUUGUUUGUGCAAAACCUCCUUUGUAUCUCUCUCCAUUUGGUUGUGACAUAAGUCACCUUAGUAUACAGGUCUAUCUAUUUCUUCCCUUAGUAUCUGUAACACAACUAAUUCUAGCAGGUAGAAUCAUGAGUGAGAUAUUAGAUGAAGGAAUUGCAAAUCUUAAAUAUAUUCAUUCGUUGCUUCUGUAUCAUUUAUGGUUGAAAACAUUAUUUUCUAUGUUUCCUUAAUUUUGCCUUGAUUUAGUGAAUUGUUGCUUAAACA
Molecule: long non-coding RNA, 1517 nt
Organism: Ziziphus jujuba (common jujube)
Lineage: Eukaryota; Viridiplantae; Streptophyta; Magnoliopsida; Rosales; Rhamnaceae
Exons: 2
Source: RefSeq, a predicted model, not a curated record